Molecule: long non-coding RNA, 727 nt
Organism: Galeopterus variegatus (Sunda flying lemur)
Lineage: Eukaryota; Metazoa; Chordata; Mammalia; Dermoptera; Cynocephalidae
Exons: 4
Source: RefSeq, a predicted model, not a curated record
GAUGGGCUAGGGCCAGGAUUUUCAAACUUGAGAAUAUUUUGCUGCCUGGAAGAGUAUCUGUAAACUGAUGAUAAUGAUGACAGUUGGCUGCAGGCCUCAGCAGACGCAUUUCCCAAGCAUUUCCAGACUUAAUGAGCCCAGAGAGCAUCCCGUGGGGCAGGGCAGUCAUGUUAUUACCAGAUUACGCUGGACAUGGGCAUGCGCCCGGCCUUCUCAGAUUUACUCGAGGACUUCGAUUUGGAAGAGAGCUGUGCAGAGUUGCAUGUGCAUGAGUUUUUCUGGGGAAUCCCAAGUCAGAGAAGCUGCAUUGCAAGAAAUUAGAUGUGCAUGGUGCAGGCUCUAGGCAAGCCAUUGCUGAUUGCACUUGCAAGAAACCAAAGCCUGCAUGAAAUUAGUUGCUGUAGCAAAGAGCCCAAGUUCUUACGUCUAUGGAGCCACCAACUAAUUGUCAUGUCAUCAUGACAUGGGCCACUGGGCCUCAGUUUGCCCAACUGUCAAAUGAGGACGUUGGGCCAAAUGGUAUCUGAGGAUGAUUUGGCCUCUGACUUUGGGUAAUUGCCCAACAUCUAGGAUGGGCUGUGAGGCACCACUUGGGUUGUCCCCACCUGGGAUCUUAGUGGCAUGAAGACGACACCUAUGACUGCAGCAACUGGAUUUCCAAGUCCCAAAUCAGAACACCCAUUACCCAAAUUGUUGGGUGACAAUAAAUUAUAACAGUAACAUCAAA